AUGCAGAUGCUGCUGUUGAAGGUGUCCGCCCAUAUCACUGAGCAACUGGGCAUGGCCCCUGGUGGGGAGUUCAGGAAGGCCUUCAAGGAGGCCAGCAAGGUACCAUUCUGCAAGUUCCAUCUGGGUGACCGACCCAUCCUAGUCACCUUUAAAAGAGCCAUUGCUGCACUCUCCUUCUGGCAGAAGUUCAAGCUGGCCUGAUGUCUGUGCUUCCUGUCUGACCCAAUCAGCAAGGAUGAUGUGGAGCGCUGCAAGUAGAAGGACCAGUUAGAGCAGAUGAUGGCAGAGAUGAUUGGCGAGUUUCCCGACCUGCAUGGCACCAUUGUCUCAGAGCGGGAAGUCUAUCUGAGCUACAUGCUGCGGCAGGGUGCCCGAUGUCUUGAACUGCCCUGCAGCUCUGAUGCAGAGCCCAGGAAGUGUGUCCCAUCUGUGGUAGUGGUUGUUGUUGGCAUGGGUCAUGUGCCUGGCAUUGAGAAGAACUGGAGCACCGACCUCAACAUCCAGGAGAUCAUGACAGUCCCCUCACUGCCCAUCUCUGGCAGAGGGUCUCGGAUGGCCACAAAGGCUGACUUCUUUGGCCUGCUGGGCUACAGCCUGUACUGGAUGGGCCGUGGAACUCUGAGCCUAGUCCUAUCUCUCUACCUGCUGCACAGUUCUGCCCCCAGAGGGUGAGCGAAGCCGGGCCAGGCCGAUAG
RNA transcript from Nannospalax galili (Upper Galilee mountains blind mole rat), 695 nucleotides. It is a transcript of the gene named traB domain-containing protein pseudogene, with no coding region annotated. The record is from RefSeq and is a predicted model, not a curated record. The transcript has a single exon. NCBI's taxonomy places the organism in Eukaryota, Metazoa, Chordata, Mammalia, Rodentia, Spalacidae.